GACGAACGCUGGCGGCGUGCUUAACACAUGCAAGUCGAACGGUGAAGCGCCUUCCUUUUUGGUGGGUGUGGAUGAGUGGCGAACGGGUGAGUAACACGUUAGUAACCUGCCCCCUUCUUCUGGAUAACCGCAUGAAAGUGUGGCUAAUACUGGAUAUUCUGGGUCUGUCGCAUGUUGGGUCUGGGAAAGAUAUUGUUUCGGUGGGGGAUGGGCUCGCGGCCUAUCAGCUUGUUGGUGGGGUGAUGGCCUACCAAGGCGGUGACGGGUAGCCGGCCUGAGAGGGUGGACGGCCACACUGGGACGGAGACACGGCGCAGACUCCGACGGGAGGCAGCAGUGGGGAAUAGUGAACAAUGGGCGCAAGCCUGAUGCAGCGACGCCGCGUGAGGGAUGGAGGCCUGCGGGUUGUGAACCUCUUUCGCCAGUGAAGCAGGCCUGCCUCGUUUGUGGGUGGGUUGACGGUAGCUGGAGAAGAAGCGCCGGCUAACUACGUG
RNAcentral lists this ribosomal RNA (494 nucleotides) under uncultured bacterium. RNAcentral describes it as "partial 16S ribosomal RNA". It matches the Rfam family "Bacterial small subunit ribosomal RNA", at positions 28 to 507 of the family's 1533-position model. The record is from RNAcentral.